Molecule: long non-coding RNA, 133 nt
Organism: Zea mays
Lineage: Eukaryota; Viridiplantae; Streptophyta; Magnoliopsida; Poales; Poaceae
Exons: 2
Source: RefSeq, a predicted model, not a curated record
GAGAGGUCAAGAAGCCGAAGGUGAUGGUCGCCGAGGCCGCCGUCCUGAUCGACGCCGAGAACCUCGCAGCGCACCUCUUCGAGAUCUCGGCAUCGUACGAGAAUCAACAGGACAUUCAGCUCAUGAGGUUUGC